AAAGAGCUCGUAGGCGGUUUGUCGCGUCUGCUGUGAAAAUCCGAGGCUCAACCUCGGACCUGCAGUGGGUACGGGCAAACUAGAGUGCGGUAGGGGAGAUGGGAAUUCCUGGUGUAGCGGUGGAAUGCGCAGAUAUCAGGAGGAACACCGAUGGCGAAGGCACAUCUCUGGGCCGUAACUGACGCUGAGGAGCGAAAGCGUGGGGAGCGAACAGGAUUAGAUACCCUGGU
RNAcentral lists this ribosomal RNA (230 nucleotides) under uncultured bacterium. Its description in RNAcentral is "partial 16S ribosomal RNA". It matches the Rfam family "Bacterial small subunit ribosomal RNA", at positions 562 to 791 of the family's 1533-position model. The record is from RNAcentral.